Molecule: ribosomal RNA, 484 nt
Filed under: uncultured bacterium
Lineage: Bacteria
Description: partial 16S ribosomal RNA
Rfam family: Bacterial small subunit ribosomal RNA
Source: RNAcentral
AUUGAACGCUGGCGGCAGGCCUAACACAUGCAAGUCGAGCGGAUGAAGGGAGCUUGCUCCUGGAUUCAGCGGCGGACGGGUGAGUAAUGCCUAGGAAUCUGCCUGGUAGUGGGGGAUAACGUCCGGAAACGGGCGCUAAUACCGCAUACGUCCUGAGGGAGAAAGUGGAGGAUCUUCGGACCUCACGCUAUCAGAUGAGCCUAGGUCGGAUUAGCUAGUUGGUGGGGUAAAGGCCUACCAAGGCGACGAUCCGUAACUGGUCUGAGAGGAUGAUCAGUCACACUGGAACUGAGACACGGUCCAGACUCCUACGGGAGGCAGCAGUGGGGAAUAUUGGACAAUGGGCGAAAGCCUGAUCCAGCCAUGCCGCGUGUGUGAAGAAGGUCUUCGGAUUGUAAAGCACUUUAAGUUGGGAGGAAGAGCAGUAAGUUAAUACCUUGCUGUUUUGACGUUACCAACAGAAUAAGCACCGGCUAACUUCGUG